This 119-nucleotide ribosomal RNA is filed under the name Pomacea canaliculata. Lineage: Eukaryota; Metazoa; Mollusca; Gastropoda; Architaenioglossa; Ampullariidae. The record is from RNAcentral.
GCCUACGGCCAUACCACGUUGAACACACCGGUUCUCGUCCGAUCACCGAAGUUAAACAACGUCGGGCCCGGUUAGUACUUGGAUGGGUGACCGCCUGGGAACACCGGGUGCUGUAGGCA